UACGUAGGGUGCGAGCGUUAAUCGGAAUUACUGGGCGUAAAGCGUGCGCAGGCGGCCUGAUAAGUCAGAUGUGAAAUCCCCGAGCUCAACUUGGGAACUGCGUUUGAAACUAUCAAGCUAGAAUAUGUCAGAGGGGGGUAGAAUUCCACGUGUAGCAGUGAAAUGCGUAGAGAUGUGGAGGAAUACCAAUGGCGAAGGCAGCCCCCUGGGAUAAUAUUGACGCUCAUGCACGAAAGCGUGGGGAGCAAACAGG
RNAcentral lists this non-coding RNA (253 nucleotides) under uncultured bacterium. RNAcentral describes it as "partial 16S ribosomal RNA". It matches the Rfam family "Bacterial small subunit ribosomal RNA", at positions 524 to 776 of the family's 1533-position model. RNAcentral also lists the same sequence under 3 other names. The record is from RNAcentral.